ACAUAGCUCAGCCAGUAGACUACCAAACCACAUAGCUCAGCCAGUAGACUACCAAACCACAUAGCUCAGCCAGUAGACUACCAAACCACCUAGCUCAGCCAGUAGACUACCAAACCACAUUACAAUUGCAGCAAAUGCAUUUCCAUCCAUAUCCUGAAGCUAAUUGACAAAAGUUGUGUUUCCCACAGGGAGGUCUGUACUUACUGUACUGGAGAGAGUCCACCACAGAAUGGCCUGUAUAUGUGAUGAGCUCUAUUGGGAAUGAUUGGCCUCCUGUUUCUGUGGAUGACACAAGGGCAGGUGUAACACUUGACCAACAUGACAUUGAUGUGACAUUCAGUUCUGGUUGAUGUAGGACAGAUUCAGUACUGGUUGCUAUAGGACAGGUUAGGUACUGGAAGCUGUAGGACAGGUUCAGUACUGGUUGCUAUAGGACAGGUUAGGUACUGGUUGCUAGAGGACAGGUUAGGUACUGGAAGAUGAAGCACAGGUUCAGUACUGGUUGCUAUAGGACAGGUUAGGUACUGGAAGCUGUAGGACAGGUUCAGUACUGGUUGCUAUAGGACAGGUUAGGUACUGGAAGCUGUAGGACAGGUUCAGUACUGGUUGCUAUAGGACAGGUUAGGUACUGGAAGCUGUAGGACAGGUUCAGUACUGGUUGCUAUAGGACAGGUUAGGUACUGGAAGCUGUAGGACAGGUUAGGUACUGGAAGCUGUAGGACAGGUUCAGUACUGGUUGCUAUAGGACAGGUUAGGUACUGGAAGCUGUAGGACAGGUUCAGUGCUGGUUGCUAGAGGACAGGUAAAAUACUGUUUGUGUUGCUUGUUGUUUGUCUGUUAACAUGACUCUGAGCAUACAGAAGGAUCAGUGGAAAGUGUAUACCAUGGGACAGAUACACGGUAUUGCAUUGAAAGGAUCCAGGUAUGUCCUUACAGCAUGUGUUUUGGUCGAUGGCUUUGAUUCUGUUGUAUAAUGUUCACUGAACUGUUUUCUGUUCUUAGAUGGAAAACCACUCCAUAGAACCUCAUACCCAGAAAAUCAAUAUCCUCAUACUACAUUCAUACUGUUGCUAAGUCAUAUUCCAGAAAUAUUUAAUUAAAGGAUGUUUUUUUUAUUUUUUAUUGUUUUGUAAAAUAAACUUUAUAUAAAUGUGGAAUUCUUUCCAA
Molecule: long non-coding RNA, 1167 nt
Organism: Oncorhynchus tshawytscha (Chinook salmon)
Lineage: Eukaryota; Metazoa; Chordata; Actinopteri; Salmoniformes; Salmonidae
Source: Ensembl